Long non-coding RNA from Mus musculus (house mouse), 266 nucleotides. RefSeq annotates it as predicted gene, 39066. The transcript is spliced from 3 exons. The record is from RefSeq and is a predicted model, not a curated record. Lineage: Eukaryota; Metazoa; Chordata; Mammalia; Rodentia; Muridae.
AGCAGAUUGGAGACAGCAUCUGGCUUAUCUCACUACAAUCUGGCAACAGGCACCAAGAAUGGAUUGCUCCUGCCUCCCACUCAGGAACCCAGUUAGUGUGGACACAGGUGGCAACAGGUGGUGCCCGCGAACAGUGGCCUGAGUACAGCCCUGGCCUGCCACUCAGGUGUACCUGGUUCAUGUGAGCUGUGAGCUGGCUCACAACAAUCUGGCACCGAAAUAGGGACCUGAAGAAUGGCAGAAGGAUGCUGAAAGAACGUUGUUUC